CGGACGGGUGAGUAACGCGUGAGUAACCUGCCUUACACAAGGGGAUAGCCGUUGGAAACGACGAAUAAUACCCUAUGACAUAAACUCCUCGCAUGAGGAGCUUAUCAAAGAUUUAUCGGCGUAAGAUGGACUCGCGUCUGAUUAGCUAGUUGGUGAGGUAACGGCCCACCAAGGCGACGAUCAGUAGCCGGCUUGAGAGAGUGUACGGCCACAUUGGGACUGAGACACGGCCCAGACUCCUACGGGAGGCAGCAGCG
RNAcentral lists this ribosomal RNA (257 nucleotides) under uncultured Anaerococcus sp. RNAcentral describes it as "partial 16S ribosomal RNA". It matches the Rfam family "Bacterial small subunit ribosomal RNA", at positions 99 to 356 of the family's 1533-position model. Lineage: Bacteria; Bacillati; Bacillota; Tissierellia; Tissierellales; Peptoniphilaceae. The record is from RNAcentral.